RNAcentral lists this ribosomal RNA (445 nucleotides) under uncultured soil bacterium. Its description in RNAcentral is "bacterial SSU rRNA". It matches the Rfam family "Bacterial small subunit ribosomal RNA", at positions 26 to 518 of the family's 1533-position model. The record is from RNAcentral.
AGAACGAACGCUGGCGGCAUGCCUAAUACAUGCAAGUCGAACGAAGGCUUCGGCCUUAGUGGCGCACGGGUGCGUAACGCGUGGGAAUCUGCCCCUUGGUUCGGAAUAACAGUUGGAAACGACUGCUAAUACCGGAUGAUGACGAAAGUCCAAAGAUUUAUCGCCCAGGGAUGAGCCCGCGUAGGAUUAGCUAGUUGGUGAGGUAAAGGCUCACCAAGGCGACGAUCCUUAGCUGGUCUGAGAGGAUGAUCAGCCACACUGGGACUGAGACACGGCCCAGACUCCUACGGGAGGCAGCAGUAGGGAAUAUUGGACAAUGGGCGCAAGCCUGAUCCAGCAAUGCCGCGUGAGUGAUGAAGGCCUUAGGGUUGUAAAGCUCUUUUACCCGAGAUGAUAAUGACAGUAUCGGAGAAUAAGCCCCGGAUAACUCCGUGCCAGCAGCCGC